RNAcentral lists this transfer RNA (69 nucleotides) under Sphaerodactylus townsendi. RNAcentral describes it as "tRNA-Ala". The record is from RNAcentral. Lineage: Eukaryota; Metazoa; Chordata; Lepidosauria; Squamata; Sphaerodactylidae.
GCCAUGGUUCAGUGGUUCAGCAUCUGCUUUGCAUGCAGAGGGUUCCAGGUUCAGUCCCCAGUAUCUUCA